RNAcentral lists this small RNA (1362 nucleotides) under Pan troglodytes (chimpanzee). RNAcentral describes it as "retained intron". Lineage: Eukaryota; Metazoa; Chordata; Mammalia; Primates; Hominidae. The record is from RNAcentral.
AUUGGGACUGUUCUUUCCAGAGGCUCUGCACUGGCAAACUUGAUUUCCCAGUACACCCUGGCUCUACUCCUCUUUCUCUACAUCCUCGGGAAAAAACUGCAUCAAGCUACAUGGGGAGGCAUCCUCGGCAUGGUGGAGCUGGGCGCUCAGUCCAUCGUGUAUGAACUGGCCAUCAUUGUGUACAUGGUCCCUGCAGGCUUCAGUGUGGCUGCCAGUGUCCGGGUAGGAAACGCUCUGGGUGCUGGAGACAUGGAGCAGGCACGGAAGUCCUCUACCGUUUCCCUGCUGAUUACAGUGCUCUUUGCUGUAGCCUUCAGUGUCCUGCUGUUAAGCUGUAAGGAUCACGUGGGGUACAUUUUUACUACCGACCGAGACAUCAUUAAUCUGGUGGCUCAGGUGGUUCCAAUUUAUGCUGUUUCCCACCUCUUUGAAGCUCUUGCUUGCACGAGUGGUGGCGUUCUGAGGGGGAGUGGAAAUCAGAAGGUUGGAGCCAUUGUGAAUACCAUUGGGUACUAUGUGGUUGGCCUCCCCAUCGGGAUCGUGCUGAUGUUUGCAACCACACUUGGAGUGAUGGGUCUGUGGUCAGGGAUCAUCAUCUGUACAGUCUUUCAAGCUGUGUGUUUUCUAGGCUUUAUUAUUCAGCUAAAUUGGAAAAAAGCCUGUCAGCAGGCUCAGGUACACGCCAAUUUGAAAGUAAACAACGUGCCUCGGAGUGGGAAUUCUGCUGUCCCUCAGGAUCCGCUUCACCCAGGGUGCCCUGAAAACCUUGAAGGAAUUUUAACGAACGAUGUUGGAAAGACAGGCGAGCCUCAGUCAGAUCAGCAGAUGCGCCAAGAAGAACCUUUGCCGGAACAUCCACAGGACGGCGCUAAAUUGUCCAGGAAACAGCUGGUGCUGCGGCGAGGGCUUCUGCUCCUGGGGGUCUUCUUAAUCUUGCUGGUGGGGAUUUUAGUGAGGUUCUAUGUCAGAAUUCAGUGACGUGGCAGGAAAGAAAGUCAGGUCAAGUGAUGCUUUUGAGCUUACACACAAUUCACAGGCCCACCAGUGACAAUUUACUUUGAGUUAAUGUCAUUCAGGUGUGCCCAUGGAUUUUGAGGGCUGGGAAUGCAAAGACACAUUUUUCUAUAAAAAGAAAAAGCAACUAAGGUUAAAAGCUAUAUUGUGGCCCAAGACACUGUCUGAAAGAUGACAUGAGUAGUAAUUCACCACUAUCUGAACCAAGCAAGGAUCAAUGUGCUGACUGCAUUGGCCAAUGGCUUUGAUACUUCUGCUAUUUUUUUAGACACAAACCCAUAAACUAAGUGCUUAAGAAUUCAUACUGCUUGAAUUAUGUAAAAUAUAUUUUACAGUAUAUCUUUCCUU